Long non-coding RNA from Falco peregrinus (peregrine falcon), 5488 nucleotides. RefSeq lists it as uncharacterized. NCBI's taxonomy places the organism in Eukaryota, Metazoa, Chordata, Aves, Falconiformes, Falconidae. The transcript has 2 exons. The record is from RefSeq and is a predicted model, not a curated record.
AGUCUAUCCUCAAACAGCUUGAGUAAUUCUGUUUUUAUUAACUGAUUGGUCAAAUAGCAGUAAGGUGACAUUAACACAACUGUGGUCAACUUCACUGCUGUGACUCAGAACCACAUCAGCAGUUGUGCAUAUUUCAAAGAUAGUAUCAACUUCAUACUGCUGCCAUUGCUGCUCCAUGGGAAGGCUAUGAACAGAUGCAAGCAGCAUUCAGCAUCCUGGAAGAUUGAGAGAAAAGGAAGACACAACACUGCUUCCCCUGAGGCAAGACAGCACUGCAGCUUUCAUGUUUAUCAGACACAGGCUAAUCAAAGGUAGAUCUUCAAACAAAGGUCAAGAAGACUAUCAAAGCUGAGAUUCUAGCUAUUCAGAUCAAAGAAGCGGUCAGGGAUUUUCAAUAAGAAAAAUCUGAAAGACCUUUUUGAAAUUUGUCUGUUCAUGGCUGGUGGUGCCUGACAAUAAAGGAAGCUGAAAAUUUGUUUUGACUAUAAUUCCAUUAGCAUGAAUGUUACACAAAAAAAAUACACAAUGUAUGUACUUCACAGCACACGAGGAAAUGCCUUUGAAACUAUUCCUUGAUACUACACACCAAGCUUUAUAGAGCCUAAAUGUUAGGGGAAAAUCAUGUACUAACACAUUGGUACAUUUAAUUUCAGAGAAGUUUCAGGUCUUUUAAGUUGCUCAUAUUUGAAUAAUUUUUGAUGCAUCUUUUCCUUAAGCGUGCUUCACCACACAGACUAAAAUAGUGUGAUAUUAAGAAGAGGCUAUUGCUAAAUGUAUGCAUGAAGGUUCCUCCUGAAGUGGUUAUUUUCAUAUCACCCAUUUUUACUACCCAUUAGGCAAUCUUGCAUUCCUCUCUCGUUCCUCUGAUGCUUAAUUUAUAAAGGAAAUUUUUAGAAAAUCAUACAUAUGUGUUCCCUACUUAGAGAUAAAAAGCAAAUAUCAUUUUUAAAGUUAGAUGUUGAGUUUAAUUAAGCUGAAUUUCAUCUUUUUACCUCUUUCAGUCUAUAAUAUAUGAAAGAGCAAACAGACUCAUUGCAAUGAAUUUACUGUGGGUUAAAGGCUCCACAACUUAAAGCUCUUCAUUCAUUCCCAGAACAAGUAUAUACUGGUAGCAAUUCAGGUUUCCCUACACUACCCAAUGACUGUGCUACAAGCUACCCUAUGUGACCAGUAUUAGAUAUAAUCUAGCGUAAUUAUACAGAUUUGUAUACACGUAUAUCUAUAGAUAUAAUAUGGAAAUGUAUAAUCUAUACUAUAUGUAUAAGCUACUUUUCAUAUGCAAAGAACUUUACAAAUUAUACCAAACAAUUUCUGUUUUCCUUCCUAACAGCAGCUACAUUUAGCCCUAGAUCAGUUUCCCACAGCAGUCAAGAGGUGCUGACAGACACCGUGCAAGGAAGACAAGGCAGUAUUCAAACACCAACGGAUAGAGAAUCAUGAAAUUGGGUUUUCUGCUAAACCCUGAUCCCAGUAAGAGGACAGCUGGAAAGGAAAAGGCAGUAUACGUAAGAACUCCAGGAAGCAUGAAAGAAAAAGUAUUGAGACAAUGUUAAAAAACAUUGAGAUGUACCCUUAAGCCUGUUUUAAAAGCACAUUUUGUAGCAGCUUCCACUACACAGGAGAUAUCUUUACAGAGAUGGUUUGAAAUCAGUGCUGCCCAUCAUUGAACUCAUUAGAGAGUCUACUGGAUAAAGAAGGACAAACUUGUCACUAUGCUUCAUACAACUCCAUCAGGAAAGCUAAAAAAGAGCAAGAUAAAAGAUAGCUGAGAGACAACUGUUUUGCUGAGGCUCAAACCGCAUCCUCAAGAACUGACGACUCUUCCUUCCAAGUAUCUUUCUCCACACACUACACAUGCUGACCAAGUAACUGCCACCAAUUACACCUAUGUAAUAAGUGCAGCUUGAAGAUGGGUCCCCACAAUAUUGUAAAUGCCAUUAGAAAUCACAGUUCAAAAGACAAUACUCCAUUUUGGUUUACUACAUUCCAGCAAAAACUUUUCACACUGACAUAUGUGCUACUAAUACACCACAAAAAUUGUUUACGCUGAUUAUUAAAUACCGUCACACUGUAUUUUGGGGUUCUUUUAAUGUUAGUACAUACCAACUGUGCACACUUGGGACUAUCCACCUUCAAAAUAACAGUAAGUCUUCACACAGCACAUGCAAACACAGCUGAAGAACUCUCAGAUAGGAAACCACAGUUCACAGCACUUUUUUCCUCUAUCAUCACAUUUGACCUAACAUAUAAAUAUAAGCAUACCAUAACAUAAAGGCUCUGAGCUCUAGAUAGCUUUCAACACCAGGUGAUGGCCGUUAAUAAACACCACAGAUACAACGUUUUCAAGCAACAAUCAAGAAAAGAACUGUCCAAAGGAACAUUCCAUGUGUUUCCAUUCCAAAGCACUCAUGAUUUCAAAAGACACAGUUAAAGCUAUCACCUCUUUCAAUAUGUCUAAGCCAGAUAAAUAAUCAGUCUCCUUGUGGUUGCUUCUGCCAGGGAAGGUAAGAAGUUUGAGCAUCAAUACCAUAUAUUUCUAAGAGACUUCAGGAGAAAAGCCACUAACAAAGGUUAUUAACCUAAAGUUUCUCUGUUUAUGACUUUGAGGAGCACUUGAAGAACUGAAAUGGCACAGAGAAACAUUAAGUACACAAGUAGUUCCUUACUGUCCCAGAAGUCAGAUCAAUGGAAACCCCCUCAAUAAACAAAAAACUGUAUUGGAUAAAUACAUUUAACUUGCAGUUGCCACUGAAUUGCAGCCAUUAUUUACAAACUUCUCAGCAAGAAACAAUAAUCUUCAUUAAAUCCCAGGAUGCACCUUUACUGUCUAGCACACUGUGAGCAUAUUGCAACAGUUCACAUCAGUGUCAUGAGAAAAUACAUUUAAAUAAAUGCUGAAAAACUGUGAAAAAGUGUUUCCGUGUUUAUAUUAGCUAUAUAAACAUUAAGAGGAAAGCUGUUCAAUAUGCACUUUUGAGAUAGCACUCUCAAAUGAACAAGAUACAAUUCUGUGUACUAUUUUUCACAUUUAUUUUCAAAAAUAACCACAUAAUUGACACCUUGGUUAACAUUUCUGAUGGGCCACUAAACCACAUCUCCAUCUACUAGCUCAUAUUCUUAUAUAACUAAUUUUUUUAUGUUUUUAAAUCCAUAAAAACAGAAAGCUGCAAGAGCGAGCUGGAAAUUAGGACCAUGCGUGGCAAUCAGUUAGCUGAGGGGAACGUGCUCAAGCUUGCACAGACACAACAAUUAACAUGAUGAGUCAUGCUGAGAGAGCAUAGGGGAGUGGGGGACGGAUGGCGUCAAGGAUGGCGCCAAAGAAAGCAAACUGGUGACCCCGACAUGAUCCGUUUAAGGAUCUGACGUGAUGGGUUUAAGAACCGCCAGGCUGAGCGGCAGGCUGCGAGUCCCACAGAACGCUGAAUGAGCUGCUAAAAGGAAGCAGGAAUUGAAAAAAAAAAAGGUCCCUCUGGAAUUGAGAGGUGAGCUGUGGGAAACUUGGGCAACAGGUGUCUUCCCCUAUAAGAGACGCAUAUGGACUCAUGAAGGGUCUUCUAGUCAGAUCCGAGAGUCCGUGCCUCAAUCUCCUCAAAUGGUGACUCCUAUGGUAGUGUUCUGAAGCCUUGCAAGAAUAAGGACGGAAAUGGUCGAUAAAAAAGACAGCUCGUGGAAGAGGGCUGCGUUCCGGAGGAGACGGCUUGGCUGAACAAUCAUCUUGCUGGCUGGACCAGGCAGACAACCUGCAUCGAGACAGGUGAGCAGCCAAGAAACUUUAGAGACUUUGAAAGAAAUGAAAGUGUGUUCAUACAGCAGCCAAUUGUAUGAUGCUGCCGCGGAGGGGAGCUCCGUGUCGGGAAUGCAUGUAGCACCUUGGUGGCAAAUUCUGACUACUCUUUGCCAAGUGUGGACCAAUUCUACUAACGGUGCUAAACCAGAGGAAGCUGUAAAUUCCACCGACAGCGCAACUCUUCUCAAAACACUGUCAAUGAUGGCAAUUCUGUCCACACCUCCUCUGCCCCCAAAGCUUCUGUCACUGAUUGCAGCGACCCUCACAACACAGGACCAAACACGGGAACAGGACAACUCGGACAAGGAUUCCAUUGACACUGAUAAACCUUUUGAUCCAGGUCCUAUAGAUCUGGAAAAGAAGCUAGACCUUCCCCCCCACUCACCCACCCACCCCACCCCCCCUCUCCCGAUGCAUUGAUUGUAUUUUUGGGGAGGGUGAAAGGGGGUCUGAGGGAUUGGUGGCAGGAAUGCAAGUGGGAAACACUUAAGUGAGGGGUUUGGGGAGUCGCUAUGAUAAACAUGGUUAUCUAGUGUUUAAUAGGUGUCUGCAUGCUUGUAGAGAUAUAUAGCUAUGUAACUACAUGAAUGGUUUUUGCCCUGAGCCUGGUGGUGCAUACAGCUGUGGUUUGUGUCCGGGCUCAGAGAUGUAAAUAUGGGCUUCUCUGCUAUGGUAAAGUGUCUCUGGUUGCAUAAAAAAAGAGGGAAUGAAGGGAAUGACCCCAGAAGUAUGUUCAGAGAAAGGACACUAUGUUUCAAACUUUUUGACUGAACCAGUUCUUGUUUGGUGUGCCCUUCCACCUAUGUAUAAUGUUAAUCCAAAAGAAGUUGAUAUUGUUUACACUUUGAAUGUCGAUAAUUGUCUUUCUGUAGAUUGGUUCUUCUCUUAUCCGGAAUAACAGCAGGGAAAGCAUUAAAGAGUUAAAUCACCUUGUUUGGUAGGCAAUUAAGAAUGUGGGUCAAAAUUGCCACUGCUUUUUGUUGGUGGUUCAAGGACAUGGCUAUGAGGAUUUUGAUGGUAUGUGCUGCGUGGGUUUUAGGCACCCCAUUGCAGCAACAUGUUAUCAGAAUCUGAGAAAAUGUCAGCCUUUUUGGCAUCCAUUCACUCAAUUGGCAGUAUUGUUUGUUUGCUAUUACCUUGGUUGCUGUCAUGUUUGCAAGGGCCCUGCAGAACAUGGCAAACCUGGUACUAGCUGUUCAAAAAACAAAAAGGGGAAAUUGUAAAAUUGUACGGAACAAAGACGGUGGGUUAUUUUGACAUUGAUAAUAUGUCUUAGUUGCUUUUUUUAUUUGUUCUAUUACUUAUACCUUGUUUUUUACAAUGCUUAUGAAAACUAAUGACUCGUUCGGUUUCAUAGGUUCUUUUUGUGCAACAGGAAGGGGGAGAUGCAGGAGUGGGCUGGAAAUUAGGACCAUGCGUGGCAAUCAGUUAGCUGAGGGGAACGUGCUCAAGCUUGCACAGACACAACAAUUAACAUGAUGAGUCAUGCUGAGAGAGCAUAGGGGAGUGGGGGACGGAUGGCGUCAAGGAUGGCGCCAAAGAAAGGUCACACCUUGCUGUUAAUUGAUGGUAGUUAACCACCAAUUGGGGACUGCCUAGGAUGCAAUGCUUAGCUUCAAGAACCAAUCUGUUUAAAACGUGAAGCUUCCAAAAGUAUAUAUAAACUCGUGUUUCUGUACAAUAAAUCAACAUUUGCUUGCA